UUUUCUUCUCAUGAGAGGGGAUGAUUUCUUGAAAGCAAGUAGCUUUUUCCUCUCUCUCUGCAGCAAAUGUUAUUUCCUUUGGAGGAAGAUAAUACCAAAUGAGACCACAGGCAUGAUGUCAAAAAGCCAUGAAAUGGGAAGGAACUGCAGCUGUUGAGGAAGCAAGAUGUAACCCAAUGCCUCCUAGACAAUCCAGAAAAAGUCAUGUCAAGUGGGACUGCCCCCCCUUCAAAGUCCUAAUCCUAACACCUCAUAAUGGAAGAGAUGAGAGGGUCUUAGGGAGGCAGUCAACUGAAAUGAGAUCUUAGAUUGCUGUAAUUCAGCAUGGUUAAUAUUCUUACAUGGGGAAGAAAUGGGGAAGGAGAGGGGGGAGGAAAGGAAGAGAGAGACAAUUUGCAAGGCUCUUUAAACCAGAGAAUAGUAGAGACUGCCGAAACUGGGGAUGGGGGGAGAAGUACACAUCACAUUCUUCCUCACAGGAAGCAAACUUGCUGGCAUCUCGUCUUGGAUCUUGGAGUCCAGAACAAAGGACUCUAAGCCACCCAUGACAUAGUGUUUUGUUGCAGCUGGCCCUGACUAUUUCAUCCCCUCUGCUGUUCAACUAUAAUCCUCAAACACAUUUCCCCAGGUGAUUGCAAUUGCUUUCAGAAAAAAAGAGAGAGAAAGAAAAAAAAACUGACGAAAUGAAGAAUGUGAAGGAGAAAGAUUAAUCAAACUAUGGACAAUGAGGGCAUGAUCCACAUGAAUUAAUCCUACCCAAGCCAUCUCACAUGUCAUUGUAUGAUGAAGAGCAAUUGCCCUACUUGAACUUGCUUGGAGUUUCUGAGUGUGGUCCAUAGCAUUUACUGAAGGUGGCAGAGAGAGGACCGGAUCAUAGAGGCAGAACUCCUUCAAAGAUAUGAUGCUAGUAGCCACCGCCUGUUUGAGACCACAGGUACCAGGAACCAGAGGUGAACAAGAUCAAGCCAGUCAACAUUGUAGCACCGAGUAGCCUUUUUUUUCCUUUGAAGAAUAUAUAUCAAAAUCUUUUGUCCAUUUCGACACUGUCUUGUCUUUUGCUGGUGAAUUGCAAACAUCCUCUGUUUGUUCUGGAUACCAAGGCUUCAGCAGUUCACAGUGGAGCAUGGAGGAUAGCCCGGCAUGACACAUAGUCACUCCUGUCAUGGCAGCUGC
Molecule: long non-coding RNA, 1173 nt
Filed under: Cricetulus griseus (Chinese hamster)
Lineage: Eukaryota; Metazoa; Chordata; Mammalia; Rodentia; Cricetidae
Description: lncRNA (ENSCGRG00015037714.1)
Source: RNAcentral